This 381-nucleotide ribosomal RNA is filed under the name uncultured Desulfocapsa sp. RNAcentral describes it as "bacterial SSU rRNA". It matches the Rfam family "Bacterial small subunit ribosomal RNA", at positions 1004 to 1382 of the family's 1533-position model. The record is from RNAcentral. Lineage: Bacteria; Pseudomonadati; Thermodesulfobacteriota; Desulfobulbia; Desulfobulbales; Desulfocapsaceae.
AAAGAGGGAAGUGCCUCGCAAGAGGAGCCUGGAGACAGGUGCUGCAUGGCUGUCGUCAGCUCGUGUCGUGAGAUGUUGGGUUAAGUCCCGCAACGAGCGCAACCCUUGUCUUUAGUUGCCAUCAUUCAGUUGGGCACUCUAAAGAGACUGCCGGUGUCAAACCGGAGGAAGGUGGGGAUGACGUCAAGUCCUCAUGGCCUUUAUGACCAGGGCUACACACGUACUACAAUGGCCGGUACAAAGGGCAGCCACUUAGCGAUAAGGAGCCAAUCCCGUAAAGCCGGUCUCAGUCCGGAUUGGAGUCUGCAACUCGACUCCAUGAAGUUGGAAUCGCUAGUAAUCGCAGAUCAGCACGCUGCGGUGAAUACGUUCCCGGGCCUU